Molecule: long non-coding RNA, 1281 nt
Filed under: Anas platyrhynchos platyrhynchos (common mallard)
Lineage: Eukaryota; Metazoa; Chordata; Aves; Anseriformes; Anatidae
Description: lncRNA (ENSAPLG00000029338.1)
Source: RNAcentral
AAAAGGAUGAAAUGCUGUGGUUUGUCACAGGAAUUGAUUAUGUAAAAGAUGGGAUUAAGAGACAGAUAAGUUAAUAUGCUCAGCAGGAGCCAGACAUAUCAUAGGGAGGUUUGCCAUUCACUAUGGUGUGAUCAAAUAAACAGUGAGAAGACAGUCAGGGGAAAAAAAAAAAAAAAAAAAAAAAAAAAAAAGCACUAAUUUAAUUCAACAUUCAACAUUUUUCUUUGGUAAAUGUUAUUUUCUCCAGGUUUCCCCAGUUGCCUUGAGAAGACCUACCAGUCUAGAAGGAACAUCAGCAUGAGGUUGUUUCUGAGGCAGCAUAAGGGGAGAAAAUUCAAGGGAGAAAAAUAUUUGCAGGUGUGCCUUGUAAGUGCUUGUAGCAUUCACUAGAGCACUGGAAGAGUGUACAGAGGUAAACAAAACUUACUGCCUGACUUCAUGUAAGGUUAAGCUAGUCAUCUGACUUUUACCUACGCUCUUCCUAUGUAUAACCUCUUUCCUAUUUUGUAAUCAUUUGUAAUGCCAGGUGGCUUUAUCUAUUAAGUUUACAGCAAGGCAUUUACUACAUGGAUGUUACCUCUAAAGAGAAAUCCCUUAUACUUUGGAAUUACUCCUUAUUAACCUUGGCCUAAUUGUGGUCUUGAGCUGUCACUCAUUUAUUAUUUAUCUUCAUACCCUUUAACCUGCUUCUCUAUCCAUUUUAACAAAACAAGGCUACCCUGGAGGCUUUGCCUUGUCUAAAAUACAUGCAGCUUUCCCAGCUGCAGAUGGCUUUCAAUAUUAAUAUCCAGCAACAUCACCGAUUUUAAGGAGAGCUUGGCUUGCUGCAUUAAGUGGAAGCUUUGCUGAGCUCCUCAAGAAUAAGUAAGCUCAAAGUUUGUUACAGACUACAUUAAACCCCAUUAUCUCCUCUACUGUUUUACUGAGACUGAUAUAAGUAAUGGUGCUGGCUUAUGGGUGCUUUUUGAUCUAUUUUUCUAAACUUUUUUUUUUUUUUUUCAUUUAAAAUUUCUUUGUAAUCAUGUCUGUUUUCCAGUCUUUUUCAGAAGAUGUGCCCAUGAGCAGUUGCAUUAGAUAAAAUAAGAGAGCAGCAUCUCAUUGUAUAGGUAUGUUAUCUACUUUCCAGUAAUGUGGAGUUGUGAAUGCUUGUGCCAACCACUGCUGGGUCACCCAACUCACUGUUACUACAGAGAAUUUACUUAAUCAGCUGUAUGAAACCAGUGAGGUGAGUUUUGAAACUGGCAUGGAAUAUGUUCCAUUCACAUUGUCAAGAUUAACUGA